CAGCAGCCGCGGUAACACGAAGGGUGCAAGCGUUACUCGGAAUUACUGGGCGUAAAGCGUGCGUAGGUGGUGGUUUAAGUCCGUUGUGAAAGCCCUGGGCUCAACCUGGGAAUUGCAGUGGAUACUGGGUCACUAGAGUGUGGUAGAGGAUAGUGGAAUUUCCGGUGUAGCAGUGAAAUGCGUAGAGAUCGGAAGGAACAUCUGUGGCGAAGGCGACUAUCUGGGUUAACACUGACACUGAGGCACGAAAGCGUGGGGAGCAAACAGGAUUAGAUACCCCUGUAGUCCCUGUCUCUUAUAC
This 301-nucleotide ribosomal RNA is filed under the name uncultured bacterium. RNAcentral's name for it is "partial 16S ribosomal RNA". It matches the Rfam family "Bacterial small subunit ribosomal RNA", at positions 509 to 807 of the family's 1533-position model. The record is from RNAcentral.